GGAGAUAUAGCUCAGAGAUAGAGCACUUGCCUAACAAGUGCAAAGUCCUGGGUUCAAUCCUCAGUGGCACCA
This 72-nucleotide transfer RNA is filed under the name Ictidomys tridecemlineatus (thirteen-lined ground squirrel). RNAcentral's name for it is "Spermophilus tridecemlineatus (thirteen-lined ground squirrel) tRNA". It matches the Rfam family "tRNA". From Rfam's summary of the family: Transfer RNA (tRNA) molecules are approximately 80 nucleotides in length. Their secondary structure includes four short double-helical elements and three loops (D, anti-codon, and T loops). The record is from Rfam by way of RNAcentral. Lineage: Eukaryota; Metazoa; Chordata; Mammalia; Rodentia; Sciuridae.